This 90-nucleotide transfer RNA is filed under the name Pseudomonadota bacterium. RNAcentral's name for it is "tRNA-Ser". It matches the Rfam family "tRNA". Rfam says of the family: Transfer RNA (tRNA) molecules are approximately 80 nucleotides in length. Their secondary structure includes four short double-helical elements and three loops (D, anti-codon, and T loops). The record is from RNAcentral. Lineage: Bacteria; Pseudomonadati; Pseudomonadota.
GGAAGCGUGGCCGAGUGGUUGAAGGCACUGGUCUUGAAAACCAGCGAUGGGGCAACCUGUCCGUGAGUUCGAAUCUCACCGCUUCCGCCA